RNAcentral lists this ribosomal RNA (497 nucleotides) under uncultured bacterium. RNAcentral's name for it is "partial 16S ribosomal RNA". It matches the Rfam family "Bacterial small subunit ribosomal RNA", at positions 28 to 507 of the family's 1533-position model. The record is from RNAcentral.
GAUGAACGCUGGCGGCGUGCCUAAUACAUGCAAGUCGAGCGAACGGACGAGAAGCUUGCUUUUCUGAUGUUAGCGGCGGACGGGUGAGUAACACGUGGAUAACCUACCUAUAAGACUGGGAUAACUUCGGGAAACCGGAGCUAAUACCGGAUAAUAUUUUGAACCGCAUGGUUCAAAAGUGAAAGACGGUCUUGCUGUCACUUAUAGAUGGAUCCGCGCUGCAUUAGCUAGUUGGUAAGGUAACGGCUUACCAAGGCAACGAUGCAUAGCCGACCUGAGAGGGUGAUCGGCCACACUGGAACUGAGACACGGUCCAGACUCCUACGGGGGGCAGCAGUAGGGAAUCUUCCGCAAUGGGCGAAAGCCUGACGGAGCAACGCCGCGUGAGUGAUGAAGGUCUUCGGAUCGUAAAACUCCGUUAUUAGGGAAGAACAUAUGUGUAAGUAACUGUGCACAUCUUGACGGUACCUAAUCAGAAAGCCACGGCUAACUACGUG